GGACAAUCUUACUGUGUUGAUGGCAGUAAAGCUACAGAAAAUCUCGGACGAUACAUAAAUGAUGACCACAUCAAGCCAAACAGCAAAAUUAAAAUAAUAAUGGAUGAAAAGAAAAUGCCACAUUUGUGUGUAUUUGCGUUAACAAAAAUCAAGCCAAUCAUACCAAAGAAAAAAUCAUACCAAAGCCUAUGGACUAGUAUGCAGGAGUGAUCCAGCUCUCA
Molecule: non-coding RNA, 221 nt
Organism: Pimephales promelas (fathead minnow)
Lineage: Eukaryota; Metazoa; Chordata; Actinopteri; Cypriniformes; Leuciscidae
Source: RefSeq, a predicted model, not a curated record